CCUUGGGGAGGGGCCAGCUGCUGUGUUCAGUCCGCCAUUGCAAACACGAAGCUCUUCCAGAAACGCCCUCACAGACACCCCGGAAGUCACGUACCCACUCUGUAGGUGCCCCGGGGCACAGGCAAGCGGACGAGCCAGUUAUCCCUCAGAGCUCCUGCUGCCUCGCCCGCUUUCUCUCGGAAACGUGAAGUGUGGCCUCAGCUGAAAGUGAGGUGGGCCUCAUUCAAUCAGUUGAAUUCUUCAAGAGAGAAAAACUGAAGUCCCUUAGAAGGAAAGAGUUCUGCCUUCAGACUGUCUUUGAACUUAAGACUGUAGCGUCGACUCCUGCCGGAAUUUCCAGCCUGCUGGCCAGCUCUGCAGAUUCACACUUGCCAGCCUCCACAAUCGUGUGAGCCAAUUCCUUAACUUCUCUUUCUCCGUGUAUCCCUUUGGUGCUGCCUCUCUGGGGAGCCCUGACUAAUAUGCAUGCAGAUGAUACGGUGCCUGGCAUUCUGAAUACAUGCACUAAAUCCACCACUUUUCCCCAUUUAUAGAUUUGGAUUAACACACUAACUUACUCAUAUCUGCAAGUAUAAAUAAAAAAAAUUGCUGGUGCCAAUUUCAAAGUUUUGCCAUGAGGUAGCUUGAAGGAAUGACAUUUUAAGGAAUUCGCUCAAGGCAGCUGAGGCGGAGGAACCCUAAGGGCUCAUUGAGAUCAUGGAUUUGCCCUUCUAUGCAUUGAUGGAGCACCUGCUGCCCACAGCGUCUGUAUUUGGUGCUGGGAUGCUGAGGACACUGAGAUCUUCAAACAGAGGCUGCCACUCUAAGCAAACAGAUCCCGAGCCCUGGACUCUGAAGCUUGGGCCCAGUUCUCCUUUUCUCCGGGUUUCAGAUCCCACUGUGAAGUGAGGGGGCCCUUCUGAUUCAGGACCCGGGGAAGCCAGGGGCAUGAGCAUCGGUGCCUCUUCUCUAUUUCAAGGACCCUUCUGGGUGUAAAGUUCUCUGAGAUGCCUUACAUGGAUUCCCACCACUGCAAGAUAACCAUCGUGUGUAAAGUGUUAUGACCAGCAGAGCGUAAUUGAAGUGCAUUCCAGAGGGAAAGACAGCGGCUCAGGUAGGCCUUGCCAGGCGUUUUGGGGUUUCACCCAUGGGAUGCUGCUUGUUUGCUGAUACCACUAAGCAAAUGAACAGUUGCAUUCUCUGAGAGGGAAACAGUCCAGCCAAAAUGGUGCAUGGCUCACCCAGGAUUCACGCCACACCCAGUGUCACCCCAGCAGCGGGGGGCCUGGGAACCACUUCUGUGUAUGAGGCUUCAGGCUUGACCAAAUCUGACUGGCUGGCUGCCGGAGACACUGCUACCCAUCGGCCCUUAAUAAAUGGCCUCAUUUGAUCAUCAUGUGAUCUUCAGAAGCUGGGCUUGAUUAUCCUUGCCAAACAAAAUGCUGAAACCAAAAAUCUGAAAGGAAAUCAAAGGUUUCGCCAUCAUGUAAACCCUUGGGCGACAGAGUCUACCUGUCUCCCCCUGAUAUUGUUCUAUGAGAUUUCGAUGCUAUCUUCAUUGCCAGCAGCCCUGACAAAGAUGCACUGCAGACGGAUAGCCUCUCAGGUUUUUAUGCUCUCUUCAUGCCCCCUCAUGGAAGCUUCGCACACACUCUUGGUUCUGUCGCAUGGUUCCCUUUUGACAUCGAACCUGCUUACCUCAGAGCCUGCUGCGGACUGAGUUGUCUUCUCCAAAAUCCAUUUGUGGAGGCCCUCAUCCCCAGUGGGAGAGUAUUUGGAGAUGAAGCAUUUGGAGGUGAUUAAGCUUAGAUGAGCUCAGAGUGGAGCCUCAGGAUGGCAUCGAUGCCCUGGUAAAGAGGGACACUGAGACCUGGCCCUCCCUUGCUCUCCACCGUGUGAGGACACAAUGAGAUGGUGGCCACCUACAAGCCAGGAACUGAACCCUACGGGGCCUUGACACUGGCCGUUCCAGCCUCCAGAAUGGCUAGGAAUAAAUGUCUGCUCUUUAAGUCACUGGGCGGUGGAGCUUUGUUAUGGCAGCACCAGGGGCUGGUUGAGAGCCUUUGCAUGGCUCUUGUUCCACCUGGAAUGAGAUUUCUAACUCUUGGCUACCUCACCCCCUUACCUCAUUGUUUCAUGUUGCAACCACCCACCCACUCCCCAUGUCUCUGGCAUUCUCAUUUAUUUUUUCUUUGAUUUCAUAGAACACAUCACAAAGCCAUUUGCUCAUGCAUGAUGUUUAUUGUCUAUUUUCUAUCUCCCUGCUAGAGGGUAAGAUGCUCAAGAACACUGCUCUGUCUGCCUCCCUGGACCCAGAAAAUGCUUGGCGUGUGGUAGAACUUAGAUAUAUUUGUGUUGAAUAAAUUAAUUGAAGGGG
Molecule: long non-coding RNA, 2356 nt
Filed under: Homo sapiens (human)
Lineage: Eukaryota; Metazoa; Chordata; Mammalia; Primates; Hominidae
Description: long non-coding RNA NONHSAT192510.1
Source: RNAcentral